UGAAUACGAGACGCUAAGGCGUCGAAGUAGUGUAUGUCAUACUUCCAAGAAAAGCUUGCACUGUCAUAGAUAAAAAACGCCUGUACCAUAACCGACACAGGUGGGUAGGUAGAGUAUACUAAGGGGCGCGAGAUAACUCUCUCUAAGGAACUCGGCAAAAUAACUCCGUAACUUCGGGAGAAGGAGUGCCUUAUUAUUAAGGCUGCAAUAACAAGAUCCAAGCAACUGUUUAUCAAAAACACAGGUCUCCGCUAAGUCGUAAGACGAUGUAUGGGGGCUGACGCCUGCCCAGUGCCAGAAGGUUAAAGAAGUUGGUUAGCAUUUGCGAAGCUGAUAACUGAAGCCCUGGUGAACGGCGGCCGUAACAAUAACGGUCCUAAGGUAGCGAAAUUCCUUGUCGGGUAAGUUCCGACCCGCACGAAAGGCGUAAUGAUUUGGAUACUGUCUCGGAGAGGGGCUCGGUGAAAUAGACUUGUCUGUGAAGAUGCGGACUACCUGCACCAGGACAGAAAGACCCUAUGAAGCUUUACUGUAACUUGAAAUUGAAAUUGGACUUUAUUCGCGCAGCAUAGGUGGGAGGCGUUGAUUAUAAUCUUGUGGGAUUAUUGGAGCCAUCAGUGAGAUACCACUCUUGUAAUGUUAGAUUUCUAACUUUGAAUCAUUAUCUGGUCAAAGAACAGUUUCAGGCGGGCAGUUUGACUGGGGCGGUCGCCUCCUAAACGGUAACGGAGGCGUACAAAGGUUUCCUCUGAACGGUUAGAAAUCGUAUCUAGAGUGUAAAGGCAUAAGGAAGCUUGACUGUGAGACCUACAAGUCGAGCAGGGACGAAAGUCGGUCUUAGUGAUCUGACGGUACUGAGUGGAAAGGCCGUCACUCAACGGAUAAAAGUUACUCUAAGGAUAACAGGCUGAUCUCCCCCAAGAGUUCACAUCGACGGGGAGGUUUGGCACCUCGAUGUCGGCUCAUCGCAUCCUGGGGCGGUAGUACGUCCCAAGGGUUGGGCUGUUCGCCCAUGAAAGCGGUACGCGAGCUGGGUUCAGAACGUCGUGAGACAGUUCGGUCCAUAUCCGGUGUAGGCGUUAGAAUAUUGAGAGGAGCCUUCUUUAGUACGAGAGGACCGAGAAGGACAUACCUCUGGUGUACCAGUUAUCGUGCCAACGGUAAACGCUGGGUAGCUAUGUAUGGAGUGGAUAACCGCUGAAAGCAUCUAAGUGGGAAGCCCACCUCAAGAUAAGUAUUCU
This 1241-nucleotide ribosomal RNA is filed under the name metagenome. Its description in RNAcentral is "bacterial LSU rRNA". It matches the Rfam family "Bacterial large subunit ribosomal RNA", at positions 1564 to 2814 of the family's 2925-position model. The record is from RNAcentral.